UGGGGGAUAUUGCGCAAUGGGGGAAACCCUGACGCAGCAACGCCGCGUGAAGGAAGAAGGUCUUCGGAUUGUAAACUUCUUUGACGAGGGAAGAUAAUGACGGUACCUCGAAAACAAGCUCCGGCUAACUACGUGCCAGCAGCCGCGGUAAUAUGUAGGGAGCGAGCGUUGUCCGGAAUUACUGGGUGUAAAGGGCGUGUAGGCGGUAUAUCAAGUCAGAUGUGAAAUUCCCGGGCUUAACCCGGGCGCUGCAUUUGAAACUGAUGUACUUGAGUGCUGGAGAGGAAAGCGGAAUUCCUAGUGUAGCGGUGAAAUGCGUAGAUAUUAGGAGGAACACCAGUGGCGAAGGCGGCUUUCUGGACAGUAACUGACGCUGAGGCGCGAAAGCGUGGGGAGCGAA
This 400-nucleotide ribosomal RNA is filed under the name uncultured bacterium. RNAcentral's name for it is "bacterial SSU rRNA". It matches the Rfam family "Bacterial small subunit ribosomal RNA", at positions 355 to 772 of the family's 1533-position model. The record is from RNAcentral.